RNAcentral lists this ribosomal RNA (253 nucleotides) under uncultured bacterium. Its description in RNAcentral is "partial 16S ribosomal RNA". It matches the Rfam family "Bacterial small subunit ribosomal RNA", at positions 524 to 776 of the family's 1533-position model. The record is from RNAcentral.
UACGUAGGGUGCGAGCGUUAAUCGGAAUUACUGGGCGUAAAGCGUGCGCAGACGGUUACAUAAGUCGGGUGUGAAAGCCCCGGGCUCAACCUGGGAAUUGCAUUCGAGACUGCGUAGCUAGGGUGCGGAAGAGGGAAGCGGAAUUUCCGGUGUAGCGGUGAAAUGCGUAGAUAUCGGAAGGAACACCAGUGGCGAAAGCGGCUUCCUGGUCCAGCACCGACGUUCAGGCACGAAAGCGUGGGGAGCAAACAGG